RNAcentral lists this ribosomal RNA (250 nucleotides) under uncultured bacterium. Its description in RNAcentral is "partial 16S ribosomal RNA". It matches the Rfam family "Bacterial small subunit ribosomal RNA", at positions 355 to 596 of the family's 1533-position model. The record is from RNAcentral.
UGGGGAAUCUUGCGCAAUGGACGAAAGUCUGACGCAGCGACGCCGCGUGGGCGAUGAAGGCCUUCGGGUUGUAAAGCCCUGUGGGGAGAGACGAAGGGCCUGAAGUCGAAUAGGCUUUGGGAAUGACGGUAUCUCCUUAGCAAGCACCGGCUAACUCUGUGCCAGCAGCCGCGGUAAUACAGAGGGUGCAAACGUUGCUCGGAAUUACUGGGCGUAAAGCGCGUGUAGGCUGCUUUGCAAGUCGGGUGUG